This 398-nucleotide ribosomal RNA is filed under the name uncultured bacterium. RNAcentral describes it as "partial 16S ribosomal RNA". It matches the Rfam family "Bacterial small subunit ribosomal RNA", at positions 338 to 733 of the family's 1533-position model. The record is from RNAcentral.
CCUACGGGUGGCUGCAGUGAGGAAUAUUGGUCAAUGGACGAGAGUCUGAACCAGCGAAGCAGCGUGAAGGAUGACUGCCCUAUGGGUUGUAAACUCCUUUUAUAUGGGAAUAAAAUGAUCCACGUGUGGGACUUUGUAUGUACCAUACGAAUAAGGUUCGGCUAACUCCGUUCCAGCAGCCGCGGUAAUACGGAGGGGCCGAGCGUUGUCCGGAUUUAUUGGGUUUAAAGGGAGCGUAGGUGGAUUGUUAAGUCAGGUGUGAAAGUUUGGGGCUCAACCGUAAAAUUGCAGUUGAAACUGGCAGACUAGAGUACAGGAGAGGUGAGCGGAAUUCGUGGUGUAGCGGUGAAAUGCUUAGAUAUCACGAGGAACACCGGUGGCGAAGGCGGCUCACUGGA